AUUGGUUCCCUAAAUGUUCAGCUUGAAGAUGUAAAUUUCCCACUUGAUACAGAUUUUAUCGAUCCAAAGUCUCCAAUAGCACAUCUGUGUGAAGAUAUAUGUAAUACAUUUCCUAUUGACAGUGGUUCCCAGAAUGUUGGCUUUGAAGAUGAAAAUUUCCCACUUGAUACAGAUUUUAUCGAUCCAAAGUUUCCCAUAGCACAUCUGUGUGAAGAUAUAUGUAAUACAUUUCCUAUUGACAGUGGAUCCCAAAAUGUU
Gordionus sp. m RMFG-2023 is the source of this 258-nucleotide long non-coding RNA. RefSeq lists it as uncharacterized. The transcript has 3 exons. The record is from RefSeq and is a predicted model, not a curated record. NCBI's taxonomy places the organism in Eukaryota, Metazoa, Nematomorpha, Gordioida, Chordodea, Parachordodidae.